GAUGAACGCUGGCGGCGUGCCUAAUACAUGCCAGUCGAGCGAACGGACGAGAAGCUUGCUUCUCUGAUGUUAGCGGCGGACGGGUGAGUAACACGUGGAUAACCUACCUAUAAGACUGGGAUAACUUCGGGAAACCGGAGCUAAUACCGGAUAAUAUUUUGAACCGCAUGGUUCAAAAGUGAAAGACGGUCUUGCUGUCACUUAUAGAUGGAUCCGCGCUGCAUUAGCUAGUUGGUAAGGUAACGGCUUACCAAGGCAACGAUGCAUAGCCGACCUGAGAGGGUGAUCGGCCACACUGGAACUGAGACACGGUCCAGACUCCUACGGGAGGCAGCAGUAGGGAAUCUUUCGCAAUGGGCGAAAGCCUGACGGAGCAACGCCGCGUGAGUGAUGAAGGUCUUCGGAUCGUAAAACUCUGUUAUUAGGGAAGAACAUAUGUGUAAGUAACUGUGCACAUCUUGACGGUACCUAAUCAGAAAGCCGCGGCUAACUACGUG
RNAcentral lists this ribosomal RNA (497 nucleotides) under uncultured bacterium. Its description in RNAcentral is "partial 16S ribosomal RNA". It matches the Rfam family "Bacterial small subunit ribosomal RNA", at positions 28 to 507 of the family's 1533-position model. The record is from RNAcentral.